Molecule: unclassified non-coding RNA, 497 nt
Filed under: Hevea brasiliensis (rubber tree)
Lineage: Eukaryota; Viridiplantae; Streptophyta; Magnoliopsida; Malpighiales; Euphorbiaceae
Source: RNAcentral
UUUUUUUUUUUUUUUUUCACUUAAUUUUCAUCGUUGUGGGAGUAUACUUAUGCUAGUCCUUGAUGCUACAUGUGACCAUAUUUUAUGGUAAUUCUUACAUGUGAUAUAUUGAAUGGAAAUUAGAAUUCCCCACCCUCCCUUUUUCUGGGGAAAAAAAGAAUUAAAAAAAGGCAGCCGUUAAAGGCAUUUCAUAUAAAAAUGAUAAAAGAUAGGAAUAUAUCAGAAUCACCCUUCUCUGAGCAUGUUUUGAUGGAAAUAACAGUGGGUAGUGCGCAAUCAUUUUUCGUCAGUGCAACCAUGAAAUCUUGAAGUCUUUCAUCCGGUGGUUUCUUGCUUACAAUUUGCAUCAUUUGUCAAUUCUUUUAUUUUUCUUAGCAUGUCUUCAUCUAUAUUUCAAAAAAGAGAUCAAUAUUUUCCUAUUGGAAAAAUUAUUAUUUAGUACUUGCAUUUUAACGAAACUAACCACUUGAUUUCUGUAUUUUAAAAAAUAUACUAUU